UGCAUUCACUACUGUAAGUCGCUCUGGAUAAGAGUGUCUGCUAAAUGACAUUGU
Molecule: non-coding RNA, 54 nt
Organism: Salmo salar (Atlantic salmon)
Lineage: Eukaryota; Metazoa; Chordata; Actinopteri; Salmoniformes; Salmonidae
Source: Rfam